GAUGAACGCUAGCUACAGGCUUAACACAUGCAAGUCGAGGGGCAGCAUGGGACGGAGAUUCGUCGAAGUCCUGAUGGCGACCGGCGCAAGGGUGCGUAACGCGUGAGCAACUUGCCCGUUUCUGGGGAAUAACCGGUGGAAACGCCGACUAAUACCCCAUAGUAUCAGAUGGAGGCAUCUUUAUUUGAUUAAAGAAUUUCGGAAACGGAUAGGCUCGCGUGACAUUAGCUAGAUGGCGGGGUAACGGCCCACCAUGGCGACGAUGUCUAGGGGUUCUGAGAGGAAGGUCCCCCACACUGGAACUGAGACACGGUCCAGACUCCUACGGGAGCAGCAGUGAGGAAUAUUGGUCAAUGGUCGGAAGACUGAACCAGCCAAGUAGCGUGAAGGAUGAAGGUUCUAUGGAUUGUAAACUUC
Molecule: ribosomal RNA, 417 nt
Filed under: uncultured bacterium
Lineage: Bacteria
Description: bacterial SSU rRNA
Rfam family: Bacterial small subunit ribosomal RNA
Source: RNAcentral